GCCGGGGUGGCGGAAUGGCAGACGCACCGCGCUUAAAACGCGGAGAGGGCCCAAAAAUCCUCGUGUGGGUUCGACCCCCACCCCCGGCA
This 89-nucleotide transfer RNA is filed under the name Patescibacteria group bacterium. RNAcentral's name for it is "tRNA-Leu". It matches the Rfam family "tRNA". Rfam says of the family: Transfer RNA (tRNA) molecules are approximately 80 nucleotides in length. Their secondary structure includes four short double-helical elements and three loops (D, anti-codon, and T loops). The record is from RNAcentral.